UAAAUCCCUCCUUAGGCACACUUAGCUUAUUCGAUUAUCUUGCACAGCUAGCUACAGGUAUGCAGAUCAUGGCCGUGUUUGGUUAGCUAACAAAGUUCUAUGUUCAUAUCUUCUGCUAUGCUAGUGUCACGGUGAAUGCUGGAUGGAUGGUUCGGUUUGUCAGGCGUAUGUUUGGUUGCAACUGUGAAAGGGAGCAGUUGAUCGGGGUGGUGUGAUCGAGGAAGAGUGGAUUUGUCAAAUAGCUCCUGUAUUCUUGGAUAUGUGGGGCAAAGCACGGCCAUGACAGGCAUGAUGCUCCUUGCAUGUGCAGCACAGGAAAGAAGAGAGAACGAUGGUGGUGAGUGGUGACUGUUGGCUUCGAACUUGCUUUUGACUCAUGGUGGAUAAACCAGCGGAGUGGUCUGCUUAUGUUGGAGGUUAGUUUUGUAUCUCUUUAAAUUACUGCACUUCUCGUAUACUCUCAUGGAGCUUGAAUGUAAUUUGUACACUGUCGUGCUGCUAAAACAGCAUGAGAAUCAUAUAAUUUCUCCAGUUUAAGAGAGGAUAUCUCAAAUGAACAUUUGCCU
Molecule: long non-coding RNA, 566 nt
Organism: Panicum virgatum (switchgrass)
Lineage: Eukaryota; Viridiplantae; Streptophyta; Magnoliopsida; Poales; Poaceae
Exons: 2
Source: RefSeq, a predicted model, not a curated record